CCAGUGACACAUCAUACUGACAUCUAAGAAUAGUAAGACUCAUGGGCCAUGACAAAGCGAUGGUCUUUUAUGGAUUAGUGAGUGGUGCUUCUGUUCAGAACAGGGAAACCAACAUCUUUCUAAAAUAGAAUAUGUCACACUUCAACCCUGUCUCACCAAUCAGCAAAUACUCUGGUCUUAGGGCUGGACUGGAUUUUAAGCACAAAAUUCCGAAGUAAACUCUCAGAUAUUUACAAGUCAGCUGUGGUGCUAUUUGUGCUCCUUUCUUCUCGCCACAAGAAAUUAUCUUUAAAUAUGUCAGACACGGAAGACUGUGUGGAGGAAAUUGAUUCAGUCACUGCUCAGCCAACUUGCAGACUA
Stegostoma tigrinum is the source of this 360-nucleotide long non-coding RNA. RefSeq lists it as uncharacterized. The transcript is spliced from 3 exons. NCBI's taxonomy places the organism in Eukaryota, Metazoa, Chordata, Chondrichthyes, Orectolobiformes, Stegostomatidae. The record is from RefSeq and is a predicted model, not a curated record.